AGGUAGGAACUCGGAUGGCGUGGUGCCAGGUAAACAACCUCUCCCUCAACGUUAGAAAAACAAAGAUGAUUGUGGACUUCGGGAGGAACCAGGCUGGACACGCCCCCAUCCUUAUCAACGGGGAUGCCGUGGGGACGGUCAAUAUAUUCAAAUUCCUCUGCUGAAAUGGUAUAACUACACAGACACCAUGGUGAAGAAGGCACGAUAGUGGCUACGUUACCUUUUUUUAAAUUACCAUUUUCAUUACUUUAUUUCACUUAAGUCGUGCAUGUUGUAGCUCAGAGCCUAAGAUUUUCACUGUACCCUUUAAUCACACCUGAAACCCUGUACAUGUGCCCUUCUUUGCGAGGCAUUGGAAAAUGUCCCUGGUCUUUGCGGUUGAAUCUGUGUUUGAAAUUCACUGCUCGACUGCUUGACCUUUUCAUUAAAUUGAGUUUGCAGCCUGAUAGGAGGAUGAAGACAAGUGAAUUGCCGACUGGGCUGAUUGCGUAGACACCAAUGAUUACGGCUUUAUGCUGGGCGGAUUUGAUUAUGCUGAGCAGCGGGCCACCAGGCAUGAUGUAACAUCAUUGGGCGAAAGCAGGGAGGGAUGCACGCCCUUCUCAAAUCGAACAGUAAUCUGCACCACUCGGUCAUAUUGUCAACAAGGCAGCAUGAUGCAUCGUCCAGAAACAUACAUCUAUUUUUCGUUAAAUAAACGUUAGAAUUGUCUAAUUAGUUUUCAUUUGGAAGGGCAGAUAAAGCGUUUUUAUCAAAAGCAAUCCCUUUUGAAUGGGAAACAAUCCUAGUGAUUACUACACUUGCUUAAUUGCGUCACUUUUGUUUUGAGCAGACUUCGCCGUGGGCUUUGAACGGGGCAGCUGGCUCACGACCGGGAGGCGGCCCAGUUCAACAUCGAAUGCAAUCAACUUUCAGCCAAUGCAAAACAAGUCUCCACGGGCGCCCGGGCGGGAUUAAUCAAACCACCUCAUGGAGAUACGUCACAGUGUUUGUGACGCUUGUCGUUUGGUGAGACGUAGACCCAGUGGCAAUGGCGAGAUUGGAAAUACCCUGUCUGUCUCGUUGAGUUUUGACAGUUUCUUCCUGAUAAAGUCAGGUCAGGCAAGGAAGAAAGAGUCCCAAAUUGGCGUUUUUCCGCUAUUUUGCCCCCCAAGCAAGGAGUGUUUGUAUGGAGGUCAAUGAGAGGGUGGCGAAUUUGGUCAACAACAAAAAAUGAAUAACUUAUUUGCUACGUGAGGUUUGUUUUUAUCGAAUAGAAGUUUCGUUAUGCUUAAAUUGUUAGGAGCUUACUGAUAUAAGUAGGACAUGUGACAUCCCAGCAACUUUGAGAAAAAACACUUUAUAUCGGAGUUGUCUCGAGAUGGUUAUGCAUAUUCAUUGCAUGAGGUUAGUAGUAUAGUAUCUCUAUCCAUUGAAUACAGGCAGUUGAUGUCAAUAUUUUAAAAAGGAUUACAAUAAUGAGAUGUAUCCUCCAAUCCAAAGAAAGGAUAGGUGGGAGCUAUAGGUGGGAGCCCACUGUGCGGCUUUGUGGACAACUACUCCCAUUGUUAGGGCGGAGAGACAUGUAAUCUUGUCAGUAUAUCCAUAAUCUUUGGGUUAAGUUUUAUUUGCUAUUCUGUGAGAGCCUGUGCACCUGAAAAAGAUAUCGGAUUGGAAUUUGUCGUAUGUGGAUCUGCAAAGCAGGAUGCCUAUCAAGGGGGUUAUUUAUCUCUGGAGUGGAGCUAGAAGUGAGUGCAGAGGAUACAACUGAAGAAGUAGAGGCAGUGUGUAACAGGAUAACUUUAGACGGUCCCCUCGCCCAUACCCGGGCGCGAACCAGGGACCUUCUGAACACAUCAACAACAGUCACCCACGAAGCAUCG
Oncorhynchus kisutch (coho salmon) is the source of this 1862-nucleotide long non-coding RNA. RefSeq lists it as uncharacterized. The record is from RefSeq and is a predicted model, not a curated record. The transcript has 3 exons. Lineage: Eukaryota; Metazoa; Chordata; Actinopteri; Salmoniformes; Salmonidae.